RNAcentral lists this transfer RNA (74 nucleotides) under Petromyzon marinus (sea lamprey). Its description in RNAcentral is "tRNA-Ile (AAT) (tRNA-Ile-AAT-19-1)". It matches the Rfam family "tRNA". Rfam says of the family: Transfer RNA (tRNA) molecules are approximately 80 nucleotides in length. Their secondary structure includes four short double-helical elements and three loops (D, anti-codon, and T loops). Lineage: Eukaryota; Metazoa; Chordata; Hyperoartia; Petromyzontiformes; Petromyzontidae. The record is from RNAcentral.
GGCCGGUUAGCUCAGCUGGUUAGAGCGUGGUGCUAAUAACGCCAAGGUCCUGGGUUCGAUCCCCCUACUGGCCA